GCUCCUGUAGCCCAAUUGGUACGAGGCGACUGAUUCAAAAUCAGUAGGUUGUGAGUUCGAGUCUCACCAGGAGUA
Molecule: transfer RNA, 75 nt
Filed under: Cylindrospermum stagnale PCC 7417
Lineage: Bacteria; Bacillati; Cyanobacteriota; Cyanophyceae; Nostocales; Nostocaceae
Rfam family: tRNA
About the family: Transfer RNA (tRNA) molecules are approximately 80 nucleotides in length. Their secondary structure includes four short double-helical elements and three loops (D, anti-codon, and T loops). Further hydrogen bonds mediate the characteristic L-shaped molecular structure. tRNAs have two regions of fundamental functional importance: the anti-codon, which is responsible for specific mRNA codon recognition, and the 3' end, to which the tRNAs corresponding amino acid is attached (by aminoacyl-tRNA synthetases). tRNAs cope with the degeneracy of the genetic code in two manners: having more than one tRNA (with a specific anti-codon) for a particular amino acid; and 'wobble' base-pairing, i.e. permitting non-standard base-pairing at the 3rd anti-codon position.
Source: Rfam by way of RNAcentral